Molecule: long non-coding RNA, 154 nt
Organism: Xiphophorus hellerii (green swordtail)
Lineage: Eukaryota; Metazoa; Chordata; Actinopteri; Cyprinodontiformes; Poeciliidae
Exons: 2
Source: RefSeq, a predicted model, not a curated record
UGGACGACAGAGACUGGUUCCAGCUGUGAGGAACUGCAGAAAGGCUCGACUUGGUGGCUGUGAGCUCCGAAAGGCUGAAUAUGAAGUUUUGGCCUCGGCUCUGAAGUCCAACCCAGAUCUGACUGAACUGGAAAUAAAUCAGAUCUACAUAAAU